RNAcentral lists this ribosomal RNA (253 nucleotides) under uncultured bacterium. RNAcentral's name for it is "partial 16S ribosomal RNA". It matches the Rfam family "Bacterial small subunit ribosomal RNA", at positions 524 to 776 of the family's 1533-position model. The record is from RNAcentral.
UGGCGAGGAUCCAAGCGUUAUCCGGAAUCAUUGGGUUUAAAGGGUCCGUAGGCGGUUUGGUAAGUCAGUGGUGAAAGCCCAUCGCUCAACGGUGGAACGGCCAUUGAUACUGCCAGACUUGAAUUAUUAGGAAGUAACUAGAAUAUGUAGUGUAGCGGUGAAAUGCUUAGAGAUUACAUGGAAUACCAAUUGCGAAGGCAGGUUACUACUAAUGGAUUGACGCUGAUGGACGAAAGCGUGGGUAGCGAACAGG